UACGGAGGGUGCAAGCGUUAUCCGGAUUCACUGGGUUUAAAGGGUGCGUAGGCGGGCAGGGAAGUCCGUGGUGAAAUCUCCGAGCUUAACUCGGAAACUGCCGUGGAUACUCUCUGUCUUGAAUACUGUGAAGGUGAGCGGAAUAUGUCAUGUAGCGGUGAAAUGCUUAGAUAUGACAUAGAACACCAAUUGCGAAGGCAGCUCACUGCGCAGCGAUUGACGCUGAGGCACGAAAGCGUGGGGAUCAAACAGG
Molecule: ribosomal RNA, 253 nt
Filed under: uncultured bacterium
Lineage: Bacteria
Description: partial 16S ribosomal RNA
Rfam family: Bacterial small subunit ribosomal RNA
Source: RNAcentral